This 77-nucleotide transfer RNA is filed under the name Escherichia coli. RNAcentral describes it as "tRNA-Val". It matches the Rfam family "tRNA". Rfam says of the family: Transfer RNA (tRNA) molecules are approximately 80 nucleotides in length. Their secondary structure includes four short double-helical elements and three loops (D, anti-codon, and T loops). RNAcentral also lists the same sequence under 8 other names. Lineage: Bacteria; Pseudomonadati; Pseudomonadota; Gammaproteobacteria; Enterobacterales; Enterobacteriaceae. The record is from RNAcentral.
GCGUUCAUAGCUCAGUUGGUUAGAGCACCACCUUGACAUGGUGGGGGUCGUUGGUUCAAGUCCAAUUGAACGCACCA